Long non-coding RNA from Lemur catta (Ring-tailed lemur), 538 nucleotides. RefSeq lists it as uncharacterized. The transcript has 4 exons. Lineage: Eukaryota; Metazoa; Chordata; Mammalia; Primates; Lemuridae. The record is from RefSeq and is a predicted model, not a curated record.
CCGCCCUGUUGCCCUGUCCCGGAGCGCAGACCUAGCGGGCCCGCGGCCCGCACUCCAGGCGGGGGGGGAUCCCGCGCUGAGGAGGUUGUAAGCUCCGAGAGGGAAAAUUUAGCCCUGGUUUUUGCUCCUCAUUGUAGCCCAGAGUCUCGUAGACUCUCAAUGGUGUUUGUUGAAUGAAAAAUUAUAUUUAAACUUAGAGAUGGGGAUGUGAUAAAAGUCCCUCAAGUCACCGCUUGGUCCUGCCACUGAGGAGAGCUCUCCAGUUUUCUAUUUCGCCUCUCCAGGUCUUGGGCAUCAGGAUUUUCAAAAGUCUUGUGGAUUGUAUUUAAGGAUGAUUGCACUGCAUGAAAUCCUUCGGUGGCUUCCUGUGUUCUUUAGGAUAAAAUUCAAAUAGUUUAUUAAGCACUACAAAGUCCUUUUGAUCUGCCCACCCCCACCGUCUACUGUCUACCUUUCCAAACUUGCCCUGUGCUGCUCUCCCCCGGGCAGCCUUCCUGCUGCCAGAACAACUUGAUGCAAAUCUCUGAAUAAAUCACAC